This 492-nucleotide ribosomal RNA is filed under the name uncultured bacterium. RNAcentral describes it as "partial 16S ribosomal RNA". It matches the Rfam family "Bacterial small subunit ribosomal RNA", at positions 29 to 507 of the family's 1533-position model. The record is from RNAcentral.
AGUGAACGCUGGCGGUAGGCCUAACACAUGCAAGUCGAACGGCAGCACAGUAAGAGCUUGCUCUUACGGGUGGCGAGUGGCGGACGGGUGAGGAAUACAUCGGAAUCUACUUUUUCGUGGGGGAUAACGUAGGGAAACUUACGCUAAUACCGCAUACGACCUACGGGUGAAAGCAGGGGAUCUUCGGACCUUGCGCGAUUGAAUGAGCCGAUGUCGGAUUAGCUAGUUGGCGGGGUAAAGGCCCACCAAGGCGACGAUCCGUAGCUGGUCUGAGAGGAUGAUCAGCCCAACUGGAACUGAGACCCGGUCCAGACUCCUACGGGAGGCAGCAGUGGGGAAUAUUGGACAAUGGGCGCAAACCUGAUCCAGCCAUACCGCGUGGGUGAAGAAGGCCUUCGGGUUGUAAAGCCCUUUUGUUGGGAAAGAAAAGCAGCAGGUUAAUACCCCGCUGUUCUGACGGUACCCAAAGAAUAAGCACCGGCUAACUUCGUG